CUCAACAUGCCAGUUUUCAGAACUCCACACAGCCUCAUGAAGACACAGGCAUCGUCUACUCUCUCUUGAACGACCAGCAGUGAGCAAGGAACAACAGAGAAUAUUUCAACUUCAAACCUCUGAACACCAAGUGGC
Scomber scombrus (Atlantic mackerel) is the source of this 135-nucleotide long non-coding RNA. RefSeq lists it as uncharacterized. NCBI's taxonomy places the organism in Eukaryota, Metazoa, Chordata, Actinopteri, Scombriformes, Scombridae. The record is from RefSeq and is a predicted model, not a curated record. The transcript is spliced from 3 exons.